RNAcentral lists this ribosomal RNA (528 nucleotides) under uncultured bacterium. Its description in RNAcentral is "bacterial SSU rRNA". It matches the Rfam family "Bacterial small subunit ribosomal RNA", at positions 777 to 1304 of the family's 1533-position model. The record is from RNAcentral.
AAUAGAUACCCCGGUAGUCCACGCCGUAAACGAUGAGUGCUAGGUGUUAGGGGGUUUCCGCCCCUUAGUGCUGCAGCUAACGCAUUAAGCACUCCGCCUGGGGAGUACGGUCGCAAGACUGAAACUCAAAGGAAUUGACGGGGGCCCGCACAAGCGGUGGAGCAUGUGGUUUAAUUCGAAGCAACGCGAAGAACCUUACCAGGUCUUGACAUCCCGCUGACCGCCAUGGAGACAUGGCCUUCCCUUCGGGGACAGCGGUGACAGGUGGUGCAUGGUUGUCGUCAGCUCGUGUCGUGAGAUGUUGGGUUAAGUCCCGCAACGAGCGCAACCCUUGUCCUUAGUUGCCAUCAUUCAGUUGGGCACUCUAAGGAGACUGCCGUACAAAUACGGAGGAAGGUGGGGAUGACGUCAAAUCAUCAUGCCCCUUAUGACCUGGGCUACACACGUGCUACAAUGGGUGGUACAAAGGGCGGCAAACCCGCGAGGGGGAGCGAAUCCCAAAAAGCCACUCUCAGUUCGGAUUGCAGG